GAUGAAGAACGUAGCGAAAUGCGAUACUUGGUGUGAAUUGCAGAAUCCCGUGAACCAUCGAGUCUUUGAACGCAAGUUGCGCCCGAAGCCACUAGGCCGAGGGCACGCCUGCCUGGGCGUCACACGUCGUUGCCCCCCCCCCAUCUACUCCUUCGGGAUUGCGGGGGGCGGAUGAUGGCCUCCCGGGCGCCUAGCCGCGCGGUUGGCAUAAAUACCAAGUCCUCGGCGACGCACGCCACGACAAUCGGUGGUUGCGAAACCUCGGUUGCCCGUCGUGUGCGUUCGUCGCGCAUCGAGGGCUCGAAAAAAUGCUCGGCUCCGGCUCGGCUUUCAACGCGACCCCAGGUCAGGCGGGGUUACCCGCUGAAUUUAAGCAUAUCAAUAAGCGGAGGA
Molecule: unclassified non-coding RNA, 393 nt
Filed under: soil metagenome
Description: partial contains 5.8S ribosomal RNA, internal transcribed spacer 2, and large subunit ribosomal RNA
Rfam family: 5.8S ribosomal RNA (bases 1-122)
Source: RNAcentral